RNAcentral lists this long non-coding RNA (744 nucleotides) under Olea europaea subsp. europaea. Lineage: Eukaryota; Viridiplantae; Streptophyta; Magnoliopsida; Lamiales; Oleaceae. The record is from RNAcentral.
GAGGUAAGAUGAAAUUUUUAAUGUUAAAAAUAGCUCUACAAAUUGUAUUUCACCUUUUCAAAGGUGAAAACUUCAGUCUGGUGCAUUAGGAAACAGAUGGGGUAGGAUUCAAAACCAUUGCUUUUGACGUCCAAAUAAAUGGAUUUUAUUGUACAGUGUUGGGUUUUAAACCAGUAGUAAACUAUUAAAAAAAAAACUUAUAAUGAUUAUUUUCAAACGGAAACACCAUAUUUGGGAAUUUUAACCCCUCCCCUCUCUCCCCAUAUAUGUGGUCAAAGAUAUGUAGGUACAUCACUCAGGGCCAUAUCUACGGGGAGGGGGGGUUAAAAAAUCCUAAAUAUGGUGUUUUCUUUUGAAAAUUAUCAUUUAAAUGAUAUUUUUUUAAUGGUUUACUACUGGUUCGAAACCCAACAAAGUCAAGUAAAAUAUAUUUUUUGGACGUCAAAAUCAAAGGUUUUGAAUCCUACCCCAUCUGUUUUUUAAUGUACAAGACUAGAGUUUUCACCUUUGAAAGGGUGAAAUAUAAUUUGUAGAGCUAUUUUUAACAUUGAAAAUUUCAUUUUACCUCUUUUUUCGCGCUUGAGGAGACGCACCCCAAGAGCCCAUUUUCACACUCUCCACCCUGUAUCUCGUGAACCGUACAUUGUAGUUCACUGGAAUUUGUUGCAAUGAACUUCUCUUGAUAAGACCUUUAAAACAAUAUGCCACACGAUGUACCAUUCCAUUUAAGAUUUUAAAGCUGGG